RNAcentral lists this long non-coding RNA (820 nucleotides) under Brachypodium distachyon (stiff brome). RNAcentral describes it as "long non-coding RNA (BDIS_LNC000300)". Lineage: Eukaryota; Viridiplantae; Streptophyta; Magnoliopsida; Poales; Poaceae. The record is from RNAcentral.
ACCUGUUUGUCCAUUCUCUUGCUGAAGAUUGUGCAUGCUGUGGUCAAGUUUCGUGCAAGAAUUAAGGAAUGCUACAGUUCUAGUUCGAGCUGUCUCCCAUAUUCUGUCCGAUGACCCGCAAUGGCUUCUUUAGGUUGUCCUGAACAAUAAUUUACCAAGGUAUUCAAAUUAAAAACAUAUAAUUAGUCCACCAACUUUUAUUAAAAUCAAAGAACAAAUAAAAUAGUAGUACAACUUACAAAGUCACCGUCAUAUAUACUUUAUUCUUUUUUUUUUCUGUAGCAACACAAAUCGUCAUAGUGAUACUUGAGCACCGAAUUCUUUAUCUUAUGUCAUUGUAAAGACCCAUAAUUUUUCUCUCUCAAUAUAAAAACCCCAAGUCAUAUCAUUUUAUAAAGACAAAAGAUGAGAGAGAGAGGUUGUGUGUUGGGAAAAUUCUUCUUGCACUGGCUUCACUUCUGAAUUCUGAUGGAGCAGUUCUUAGCUUAGCCAGCUAUAGCCUGUAAGCCUGUUUGUUUGUCUGUUUGGUGUGAACCAUCCCUUCACGAGCCCUAGUGACCUACCUUGAGCAUAUCGGCACCCCGGCCAAUUCGGCCAAUGCCAUUACGAAACGAUAGCCCAGUCAUGCUCUCUGCCAAUGGAUACGCAGGCAGAACUUAGCAAUCAACCGUAAGUAACGCAUCGAUCAAAGAUUGAAGACAGGCACAUGCCUCAUCCAUCUAGCUUCUUCUUCCUUGACGUUCAAGUAGGAUCGAGGCCUUGCUUGGAUCCCCUGCAAUGUCAGUGGAGUGGACAGCUAGCUAGCCCACACACACACGCU